Molecule: long non-coding RNA, 574 nt
Organism: Homo sapiens (human)
Lineage: Eukaryota; Metazoa; Chordata; Mammalia; Primates; Hominidae
Product: long independently transcribed non-coding RNA 1882
Exons: 2
Source: RefSeq, marked validated
GCGACCUUGAAGCGGCAUCCGAGGAGAUGUGGCCACGGGGCAGGCGACCGACACCAGCGAGUCCAGAGGGCCAGCGUGUGCACCACUGUGUGUCUCCAGAGACUUCAGGAAGCAGCCACCACGCCCGAGGAAUGCAGGAAGAUGGACACACGGCUGGGGAAGUACAAUGAAAGGCCAAGUAGGCAGCCUGUUCUCCUCAGAUCAGUCCCCCACGAACACUCAUUCCCGAGGACUCAUCCAAUACUAAUAAGAGAAUGCUCUUGUUUUUGAAGAAUUUUCUGAAAGCCAUCCUGACAAAUUAAGUAGAGUAUGCUGAAGAUAGUCAGACUUUGUUUUUAAGAAUUGAAUAUUCUGGAAGAGGCUCUUCAGUCCAAUCUUUAGUUCUCUCCACAGAGCAAACGAAGUGAAGUGCUGAAGGCCUGGAGCCCGAGCUGUUCCCACACGGACUCCAGGACAGUUAAGGCAGGGUUGCCUUAACUAAAUCUCUGACAACUGUUUCUUCUGUCUUUCUCCUAAAAAUGGAAUGCAGGCCAUCUAUUCUAGGGAAAUAAAGGAUUCUAGUUAUGUGAAUCCA